AGGACGAACGCUGGCGGCGUGCCUAACACAUGCAAGUCGAACGGGGCCCGCAAGGGUUCAGUGGCGAACGGGUGCGUAACACGUGAAGAACUUGUCCAUCGGCGGGGGAUAGCCGGCCCAACGGCCGGGUAAUACCGCGUACGUUCUUCGAGGGGCAUCCCUUGAAGAGGAAAGCAGCAAUGCACCGAUGGAGAGCUUCGCGGCCUAUCAGCUUGUUGGCGGGGUAAUGGCCCACCAAGGCAACGACGGGUAGCUGGUCUGAGAGGAUGAUCAGCCACAUUGGGACUGAGACACGGCCCAGACUCCUACGGAGGCAGCAGUGGGGAAUAUUGCGCAAUGGGCGAAAGCCUGACGCAGCGACGCCGCGUGUGGGAUGAAGCUUUUCGGAGUGUAAACCCUUUCGACCCGGAAGAAAUGCCCGCAAGGGUUUGACGGUACGGGUAUAAGAAGCCCCGGCUAACUACGUGCCAGCAGCCGC
Molecule: ribosomal RNA, 478 nt
Filed under: uncultured bacterium
Lineage: Bacteria
Description: SSU rRNA
Rfam family: Bacterial small subunit ribosomal RNA
Source: RNAcentral